GGACUACCGGGGUAUCUAAUCCCGUUUGCUCCCCUGGCUUUCGUGUUUCAGAGUCAGGAAUCUUCCAGGUAUCCGCCUUCGCCACCGGUGUUCCUUAUGAUAUCUACGCAUUUCACUGCUACACCAUAAAUUCCGAUACCCCCUCCGAUCCUCUAGCCGGGCAGUAUCAAGCGCAGUUUCAGAGUUAAGCUCUGAGAUUUCACACCUGACUUACCCGACCUCCUACACACCCUUUACGCCCAAUGAAUCCGAACAACGCUCGGGACCUCUGUCUUACCGCGGCGGCUGGCAC
This 292-nucleotide ribosomal RNA is filed under the name uncultured bacterium. RNAcentral describes it as "partial 16S ribosomal RNA". The record is from RNAcentral. RNAcentral also lists the same sequence under 1 other name.